This 362-nucleotide ribosomal RNA is filed under the name uncultured bacterium. Its description in RNAcentral is "bacterial SSU rRNA". It matches the Rfam family "Bacterial small subunit ribosomal RNA", at positions 29 to 414 of the family's 1533-position model. The record is from RNAcentral.
AGCGAACGCUGGCGGCAGGCUUAACACAUGCAAGUCGAGCGCCCGGAGCAAUCCGGGAGCGGCAGACGGGAGAGUAACACGUGGGAACGUACCCUUUGGUUCGGAAUAAUCCAGGGAAACUUGGACUAAUACCGGAUAAGCCCUUACGGGGAAAGAUUUAUCGCCAGAGGAUCGGCCCGCGUCUGAUUAGCUUGUUGGUGAGGUAACGGCUCACCAAGGCGACGAUCAGUAGCUGGUCUGAGAGGAUGAUCAGCCUCACUGGGACUGAGACACGGCCCAGACUCCGUACGGGAGGCAGCAGGUGGGGAAUAUUGGACAAUGGGCGCAAGCCUGAUCCAGCCAUGCCGCGUGGGUGAUGAAGG